This 505-nucleotide ribosomal RNA is filed under the name uncultured bacterium. Its description in RNAcentral is "partial 16S ribosomal RNA". It matches the Rfam family "Bacterial small subunit ribosomal RNA", at positions 28 to 507 of the family's 1533-position model. The record is from RNAcentral.
GACGAACGCUGGCGGCGUGCCUAAUACAUGCAAGUAGAACGCACAGUUUAUACCGUAGCUUGCUACACCAUAAACUGUGAGUUGCGAACGGGUGAGUAACGCGUAGGUAACCUGCCUGGUAGCGGGGGAUAACUAUUGGAAACGAUAGCUAAUACCGCAUAAUAUUGAUUAUUGCAUGAUAAUUGAUUGAAAGAUGCUAUUGCAUCACUACCAGAUGGACCUGCGUUGUAUUAGCUAGUAGGUGGGGUAACGGCUCACCUAGGCGACGAUACAUAGCCGACCUGGGAGGGUGAUCGGCCACACUGGGACUGGGACACGGCCCAGACUCCUACGGGAGGCAGCAGUAGGGAAUCUUCGGCAAUGGACGAAAGUCUGACCGAGCAACGCCGCGUGAGUGAAGAAGGUUUUCGGAUCGGAAAGCUCUGUUGUAAGAGAAGAACGGGUGUGAGAGUGGAAAGUUCACACUGUGACGGUAUCUUACCAGAAAGGGACGGCUAACUACGUG